GUGCCCUUUUAAGACCGAAGCAGUGCUGCAAGAGGCUAACACAGAAGCGUAAAGUAAGUCUUCAUAAACCCAGAGAAGAGAUUACAAAACUUCUCUUUGGAUCCUGUCUGGAGUCACAGCU
This 121-nucleotide small nucleolar RNA is filed under the name Microcebus murinus (gray mouse lemur). RNAcentral's name for it is "Small nucleolar RNA SNORA26 (ENSMICG00000033141.2)". It matches the Rfam family "Small nucleolar RNA SNORA26". Rfam says of the family: The snoRNA HBI-6 belong to the H/ACA family of snoRNAs, guiding the pseudouridylation of position U4522 if the 28S rRNA. HBI-6 is the human orthologue of mouse MBI-6 snoRNA. Lineage: Eukaryota; Metazoa; Chordata; Mammalia; Primates; Cheirogaleidae. The record is from Rfam by way of RNAcentral.